This 350-nucleotide ribosomal RNA is filed under the name uncultured bacterium. RNAcentral describes it as "bacterial SSU rRNA". It matches the Rfam family "Bacterial small subunit ribosomal RNA", at positions 556 to 901 of the family's 1533-position model. The record is from RNAcentral.
GGGCAUAAAGCGUGCGUAGGCGGGCGGUAUAAGUCAGUGGUGAAAUCCUGGAGCUUAACUCCAGAACUGCCAUUGAUACGUAUAUGUCUUGAAAUAUGGCGGAGGUAAGCGGAAUAUGUCAUGUAGCGGUGAAAUGCAUAGAUAUGACAUAGAACACCUAUUGCGAAGGCAGCUUACUACGCCUAUAUUGACGCUGAGGCGACGAAAGCGUGGGGAUCGAAACAGGAUUAGAUACCCUGGUAGUCCACGCCCUAAACGAAUGAUUACUCGACGUGUGCGAUAAACGGUACGCGUCUGAGCGAAAGCAUUAAGUAAUCCACCUGGGAAGUACGACCGCAAGGUUGAAAACU